This 5375-nucleotide long non-coding RNA is filed under the name Populus trichocarpa (black cottonwood). Its description in RNAcentral is "long non-coding RNA (PTRI_LNC004619)". The record is from RNAcentral. Lineage: Eukaryota; Viridiplantae; Streptophyta; Magnoliopsida; Malpighiales; Salicaceae.
GCCUGCUCUCUCUGCAGGAGUAGAUGCCAUCUCUACCGUAUCACUUGGUGAAAGUCGCGAAAUCCUCCUUUGGCUGCUUUCAGCUAAAGCUGGAAUGCCAGUAUAUACAGAUGUGAAAAGCCAAUAUUCCAGCCACACUGCUACAGUGUUCCAGACUGCUAAAGUCAUAGCAGAGGCUUUAACUGAUAUAAAGCUCAUUAUGAAGCCACUGAUAACAGGAGCAAGAAGCUUGCAGGUUAAAUCAAUUCGUCUAAUAGUUGAGUUGAUCUUUGUUAGUACAUCAGGCGUAUGGCCUUCUGAAAUCAACACCACCCUGCAUUUUGAAAAGAAGUAUCGUCAAAUUAGAAAAUGUAAACUCACAAGACAAAUUUUGAUCACAACUCCAAUAGACUAACGGUAGUCCAUUCGCUAAUAUUACUCUCUCUUCAAAGUAUAAAUACAGUUCUCCAAAUUACCAUUCUCUUUCUAUUAAGAUGGUACCGGCAAGAGUGGAAAGCACACCAAUAGCUCCAGAGAUGUUGGUUAAUAUCACAAGCAAAAUGAAUACUGUGAAAUUUGUCGACUUCAAUGCCGGAGAGAACAGUAAUGUGAUUACCGUGCAUCCAGCUAUUAUGAAGGAAAAAUUCUGGGUCACCAACCAAAUUCGGAGAACCUGCCAAUAAAUGUUCUCUGAGAGAAUAUACAUGUAUGAGAAGGCAACAACAUCAGGUACUUUGUAAUGUUUAUUUGUUAUAUUUUCUUGUUUUGUCAUACAGACGAACACAUCAUGAGUUGAUUGAGGGCAUUUCAGAUGGUGAUUACUUGAAAGGCAUCCCCGAUUUUACCAUUAGAGGAGACAAGAACUGAUGUUGAAAGCAAUUAAAUUCGAUAAAAAGAACAUGGUUCAUUCAACCUGUCCAAGGGUAGUGAUGAAGCAAUCAUGAUUCGAAUCCUAGUACUAUUGUAUGAGGUUAAAACUAUCAUAAACUUUGAGUAAAUUCGCAAUUUCAGAACCGGAUAUCUAGAAAUGUGAACAUUUUAUAAAGCACAAUUUGUCUUUUCUCCAUUAGGAUGGACAUUAUUAACAAGGCAUGACCAAACCUUAAAAUAUGCCGACCUCUGCACCCAUUGUCCGAUGAUGGGACCNNNNNNNNNNNNNNNNNNNNNNNNNNNNNNNNNNNNNNNNNNNNNNNNNNNNNNNNNNNNNNNNNNNNNNNNNNNNNNNNNNNNNNNNNNNNNNNNNNNNUGAAUUAGCUCACCAAUUUGGUUUUCAAGGGAAAAAACAGACAAACAAAGAAAAAAUCUUAAUUCUGUCAUCCUUUUCCCUCGUCAAGAAAAUCUUAGUUGAGAAAAUACAAGGGAAAAGUCACAAUUUUACACAACCACAUACCAAUACACACAAUAGAGAGCUAGCUAGCAACUACAGGAUAAAAGACAAAUAUUCCGAGGGAAUUGCGAUAUAACCUGGCAUCCCAUCUUGCUAAAAAGUGGCCAAUAUACAAAAUUCUGAUAAGGGAUGUAGGCAAAGAAGAGUCUUGGGAAGAAGAAGAUUCUUGUUGUUGCUGUUGAUCAAGACGUGGCUCUCUCACCAUCGUCUUCUUUUAUUUCAGUUUCUUUAUUUUUUUCCACUAAAUCCACCCGCCUUCGAACCUCCUAAGUCCUAGGGCUAGCUUUGAAUCUUUUAGCCCUGAUUAUCAUGCUAACUGUUAACUGCUAACUAACUGUGUUAAUUGCAAACGCGUGGACAGUACGAUGCUUUGCCGGCCAUGCAUGAAGAUGAUUUUUAGAUCGUUAUUAUGAAACACGGCCCGCCCGGUGAGUCACCUGGGACUCGGUGGCUGGACCGGUCCGAGUAAGAUAAAAGAUCGGCCAGUAUAACAAACCGGCAAAACCUGGUCGACCCAGUGGGUCGAACCAUGACCCGGGUGAACCCGGACGAGACCCGAUGUUUUUUUUUCAAAUGUGGUUUUUCUUCUAUACCUUUCUUUUUUCAUAUUUUUUUAGUUGGUAAUUAACACUUUUAAAGUUUACUAUAUAAAUACUAGAAAAAUAUUUUUUUUUUCAAUGUGAGAUUUUUUAAUAUAUAUACUUUAUGUUCACAAGAAAGAAAUUAUUUUUUCAAUAUGGAAUUUGAAGCCCUUUACUAUAUAUACUUUAUGUUCACAAGAAAAAAAUUAUGUUUUUUCAAUAUAGGAUAAAAAAAAUUUAGUUUAAAUAUUUCAACUUAAAAUGAUAACAUAGUAUUUUUUCAAUGUGAGAUAAAAAAUAUUUAAAAUAUUCUUUUAAACUUCAUUAUUUACAACAUAUAUAACCUAUAUUUAUUCUUAAUUUUUUCAUAUGAAAUAUUAAACUUUAAAUAUUUUUUUUCAGGUUGACCCAUGAAACUCAGGACCCAACCCCUUGACCGGGUCAACCUUCAGGUUGGGUUUGAUAACUAUGAUACCAUUAAUUAAUUAAUGAUGGUUACUAGACUGAAAGCAGAGACAUGCCGUAGAAGCAUAUAAAUUUUUUUUUCUUCCUUUUCAACGGAUUAUUUUUGUAAAAAAUUAUUUUUUUUAUUUUUUUACUUUAAAUUAUUUUUUUUUUGUGUUUUCAAAUCGUUUUGAUGUGCUGAUGUUAAAAAUAAUUUUUUUUAAAAAAAUAAUAUUAUUUUGAUGUAUUUUUAGGUGAAAACAACUUUAAAAAUUAACCAUUACCACACUUCCAAACACUUACUAAAAAACAAUACAUGAGUUGUUGGAUUAUUGAAUUAAUAGUUUUUAUUUAAAAAGUAGUAUUUUAUUUUAUUUAAUUUUUUAGAGUUAAUAAUAUUAGAUUUAACCGAUUAGUUUAAUUAGAAAUUCAAUCAUAGUCAGGCUUUAAAUCCUGAUUGUUCAGGAUUAAUCUAUUCACCUAGCCCAAGUUUAUUAACUAUGUCUAAAAAAUCACUAAAAGAAUGUUUGGUAAGAUGAAUUUUAGAUGCUUAUCCUAUGCUCAAGAAAUAUGAUUAUUUAAAGAAAUAAUAUUACUAUAUUUUUAAUGUGUUUGGUUCAUUAAUGUAAUUAUAUAAAACUCAAAUAAAAUUAUUUUCUUAAAUUUAAAAUUUAAAAUAGCUAAAUUUGAUAUUUUACUUUUUUUUAUAUGAUUAAAAGAAUAUAAAUUAAUUUUUUUCUUAAAAAUAAAAAAAAAUCACAAAAUUUUUAGAAAGAAAAGGAUAAUUACUGAUAAAAUUAUAAGAACUCCGCAUAAUUGGCAAUUGCUAAAAUAAAAACUUAGUUUCGUUUGACAUGCAAGCUAUCCCGUGAAUAUUCUUCACAGAUAAAUAAUAAAAAAGGAUCGGUGAAGUCCUAAUAUAUAUAAAUUGAAUUUUUUUAUUUAUUAAUCAUUAUUAUAGAUUUAUGUUAGUAGGUCACCAUGGUCGAACCACAAUAUUCUCUGUUGUCCUCCUAUAAUCCUAUUAUUUAUUUAUUUUCCACUGCUCAAAAUUUAAUAAAUGCCCUGCUGUUCCUGGCAACAAAAGGAGGAUAAUAUCCCCACCCAGAAGACCAAAGUAUUUGAUAAGUUAUUCCGGGGCCUAAUCUCUGAGGAAUCUCAGUAACUUGGCGUCAGAGCGGCAGGCUGUAGGGAUGAAUCCUACCUAGGAAUAUUUGGUUCCAGUAAAUUUUGAUGCGAAGGUGACAUGAUCUCCCAUUUCAACAACAUGAACAGCUUCUCAAAGUGAAAAAGGUGCUUUCUAACUCGAUAUAGAUGUAUGCUGUAAAGCAAUGCAGCAACUGUUACUGCUGAAAAGGACAAUAUGAUCAACUCCCAGAAAUCCUGAACAACAAUGCAGGUUAAGUUAAUAUACAUCAAAGUAUGAAAUCAGGAAGGAAGAUAAGAAUUCUGAUUCAAAUAUCCAGUGAAACAGGAAAGUUUAAUGCUUGAAAGAUGUAUGAUCCAAGGAUGAUUACCCGAGGGUUGGAGAUGAUUAUGCCCAUAACAUAACCCAACAAGUCCAUAAAAGACUGAACAGAAUUCUGAACACCUCCCACAACCAGACGAUCAGGCUCGGGAACUUGAUCCUGUGCCGGCGAAAAUGAAAAGAGUUGAUUAGUAUGCCUUCUUUAAGGCACGAUAAACUUGAUCGGCAGGCAUAAAAAGAGGUGAUCUAGGAAAACACUAACAGAAUUCAUUGUUCUUUUAGCAUGAUAGGUUUUCUUACCUGCAUUUGUUGGAUUACAGAUAAGUCAAACAUCCAUAAGCCAAGCCUAGAGAUAGCUACUCCAGCCAUCAGCAUGUAUGCUGAUAAAAGAUGAUUUUGGACCCAUAUUGAAGCAAUGCACACUAGAAGGCAGGUCCACUGCUUGCAAUGCACAGAAUAAGGAGGAGGGACAGUGAUUAGUAGAAAGAAUUACUUUCAGAUGAUCAUAAUUACUAAGAAAUGUACCUGAGACCAGAUUGACCAGAGUCCUGUUCUGAGAAUUGAAAUACGAGAUUGCAAGAUUGGGUACACAACCGUCGCGGCUAUUCCAAUCAUAGCGCUUAUUCCACGGGCUAUUCCGAUCACAUAUGCAGGUAUACCUUCCCAUUCCAAGGCAGCUGUCAUCAAGGUUCCAAAGCUGGAAAAAUGUGAUCAUUAGUAAGUUGUAACAGUAAGGAACUAAACCCAAAUCAUAUGAGAUAAUGGAGCAAACAGAAAAAAACUGUCUCAGGUCAGUAUCUCAUGGCAGUAGUCACAGUCUCUGAUGCUGUUCAGUUAUUAGUCAAAAACACAAAAUCAUAAGCGGGGCAUUACCUAAGCACUGUGAAAUAUAACAAGGCCAGAGAUACACCAGGGAGCAGAACAUCUUGCUGUAAAUACACAAGCCAAGCACCGACAAAAGGAACCUUUGAAAAGCUCUGAGUUAAUCUCCUUCUCCAUCCCAAAUCCACCGAAACCGAAUUUUCGCUUCCUGGAGAAAUCAAGCCCUCUCUUUCUGGAGAAAUAGACGUGAUCUCUUCCAUAUCACUUCGUGAAAGUCGUGAAAUCCUCCUUUGGCUACUUUCAGUUAAAGCUGGAAUGCCAUUAUGUACAGAUGUGAAAANNNNNNNNNNNNNNNNNNNNNNNNNNNNNNNNNNNNNNNNNNNNNNNNNNNNNNNNNNNNNNNNNNNNNNNNNNNNNNNNNNNNNNNNNNNNNNNNNNNNCCUCUCUUUCUGGAGAAAUAGACGUGAUCUCUUCCAUAUCACUUCGUGAAAGUCGUGAAAUCCUCCUUUGGCUACUUUCAGUUAAAGCUGGAAUGCCAUUAUGUACAGAUGUGAAAAGCCAAUAUUCUAGCCACACUGCUAUAGUGUUCCAGAUUGCUAAAGUCAUAGCAGAGGCUUUAACUGAUACAAAGCUCAUGAUGAAGCCACUUAUAACAGGAGCAAGAAGCUUGCAGGUUAAAUCAAUUCGUCUAAUA